Molecule: ribosomal RNA, 488 nt
Filed under: uncultured bacterium
Lineage: Bacteria
Description: bacterial SSU rRNA
Rfam family: Bacterial small subunit ribosomal RNA
Source: RNAcentral
CUACGUGCCAGCAGCCGCGGUAAUACGUAGGUCCCGAGCGUUGUCCGGAUUUAUUGGGCGUAAAGCGAGCGCAGGCGGUUAGAUAAGUCUGAAGUUAAAGGCUGUGGCUUAACCAUAGUACGCUUUGGAAACUGUUUAACUUGAGUGCAAGAGGGGAGAGUGGAAUUCCAUGUGUAGCGGUGAAAUGCGUAGAUAUAUGGAGGAACACCGGUGGCGAAAGCGGCUCUCUGGCUUGUAACUGACGCUGAGGCUCGAAAGCGUGGGGAGCAAACAGGAUUAGAUACCCUGGUAGUCCACGCCGUAAACGAUGAGUGCUAGGUGUUAGACCCUUUCCGGGGUUUAGUGCCGCAGCUAACGCAUUAAGCACUCCGCCUGGGGAGUACGACCGCAAGGUUAAAACUCAAAUGAAUUGACGGGGGCCCGCACAAGCGGUGGAGCAUGUGGUUUAAUUCGACGCAACGCGAGGAACCUUACCAGCGUUUGACAUC